Molecule: ribosomal RNA, 497 nt
Filed under: uncultured bacterium
Lineage: Bacteria
Description: partial 16S ribosomal RNA
Rfam family: Bacterial small subunit ribosomal RNA
Source: RNAcentral
GAUGAACGCUGGCGGCGUGCCUAAUACAUGCAAGUCGAGCGAACAGACGAGGAGCUUGCUCCUCUGACGUUAGCGGCGGACGGGUGAGUAACACGUGGAUAACCUACCUAUAAGACUGGGAUAACUUCGGGAAACCGGAGCUAGUACCGGAUAAUAUAUUGAACCGCAUGGUUCAAUAGUGAAAGACGGUUUUGCUGUCACUUAUAGAUGGAUCCGCGCCGCAUUAGCUAGUUGGUAAGGUAACGGCUUACCAAGGCAACGAUGCGUAGCCGACCUGAGAGGGUGAUCGGCCACACUGGAACUGAGACACGGUCCAGACUCCUACGGGAGGCAGCAGUAGGGAAUCUUCCGCAAUGGGCGAAAGCCUGACGGAGCAACGCCGCGUGAGUGAUGAAGGUCUUCGGAUCGUAAAACUCUGUUAUUAGGGAAGAACAAAUGCGUAAGUAACUAUGCACGUCUUGACGGUACCUAAUCAGAAAGCCACGGCUAACUACGUG